GAACCACGCGCGGUUUCUUCGCCAAUUGAAUCAAACCUCGUUGCACCUGUUUCUGGGAGAGUCCAUGGUUCUGAAGCUCCGUCUUCAACUGAAACAAUCGCCACCGUAGCUCAAGAUUUAAUCCCCGUUGCCGCAUGGUCGCCCGGAAAUAUUAUUUUUUUCCCCGAUAUUCCCGAAGGAGCAAACGAAACUCGAAGAGAGGGGAAGAUUGGGAAAAAAACAAACGAGCCGAGCGCGCACGUCGACGAUCGGCAUUUAUGUUUGUACGCUCGUUUGUUUUUCCCCGGCGACCCUCUCGCGUCGACGGGUCCCGGCCGGUACUUCGAAGUAGCGCUCGAAGAAAACGAAAAAACGUCUCUGUUCUCGUGCCGCGAGUGGAAAAAAAGAGGGAAAGAUCGUAAUUGUAGAAGCGAAUCGCACCUUCCUGAGCAGUUUGCAACGGCGCACAGUCCCGACACGGUGUAACCACUGUUUCAACACUAGGUUGCUGAAGUUCACUGAUUUAAUAGCCUCAGUUUUCACGGUUUGCGUCAUCGUUGUUGAUACACCCAGCGAGGAUUAUUAUUACUAUUCGUGGUCCUUCCUGUGUCGGAGCAACAAUGUUUUCGCGCGCAGCAGUAGGACAGUGCUACCGUUGUUCCGGGAAAGAGCAGUCACGUUAUUGAAAAGCUAACGGAUGCUCUGAGAAAUUACUAGAGAAAUUGAUUUAGUAAUACGGAUACUACAGUGCAAAUCAAUUGAAGUCUCAAUAGUUGCACCAUUUAGUUUCUACACAGAAAUUUCAAACAGACAGUUUGACCGCUUGGUAGUUUUAACGUUAAAAAUAUUUUCUUACAGAAAUUAGCGUGUACCAUAUAUAGUAUACGUGGCACUGAACGUGUUAAGAUAUAAUUGUUUCAUUUUGAUGAAGCUUUGUAUGGAUGACAAGAGUGUAAUGAAUGGUAUAAUAACAACUUUUCCUGAUCAACACUUGUGACAGUGAGACUAUUCGGCGUGAGCGAAAUUUAAGUUCGGGUUUAUUAAUACAACAAGCUUGUAGAUUUGAAUUCCGCAUUAAUCUACUUUAGAGGGGAGAGUUAUCGCUAUAUUUGUGCUACUGGUUAUCAUAAGCGUCGAGUGGUUUGAUGAUAGAAGUAUGCAGCUAAUUGUGAACGGAUACUGCACACAAUAUAAGUUAAAUAUACGAACCUUUAAUGAGUGUAAUUAUGUUUUGUGUAAUAAUUCGCUAAAUAUCUCAUCAAUGACAACAGAGGACAUUUAUAUAACUUUCUCAUCUGGUGAUUAUAUAACCAUGUUUAUAAGUCGUGGUAUUUUCACCACUAAUGUUUUCAUUGUUUACACUAAUCUCGAGAAGAGAGAUCUUAUUAAAACAAUACGGUUAUCGCGAAAUAAAGAAUGAAAAAGCUUGGUAUCAUCUGCAUACAACGCAUACAAUAUAAAUUUACAGAACACAAGGACAAACUUGUAUUUAUUUUGGUACUUUUAUUUCUCUCAUUACGCCGCGCCAGCAUCCCGCACAAAAUGAGACACGUCGUGAUGACUAAUAGCUGAGAACGAGAUAAUGAAAAUAUUCAGGAAUUCGGCAUAACGUAGUAAACACAAGGACCAAGGACUCCCAUUGUCAUCAGAAGAGACUAUAAAAACCCCAUGAGACCGUGACCGACCUGUAGUGUUCUCCAAACAAACAAUAUUUUCAAUCGAGUAUUCUUCGACUGUCGGAUUACGAUGUUACUAAAUAUUGUAAAAUCGAAUAGAGCUUGUUCGUUUAACACUAGAACUACCAGAUAGGUCAAAAUGACCCAUUCCCGAUUGCUUUAAUAAUCAUUAAAAUCAUAACAAAUAAUUCUGUGAGAAAUUACUACAGAAAUUGAUUCAGCAAUAGGCAAACUGAAUUGUAAAUCGAUAAAAAUCUCAACAGUAGCAUUAUUGGAGUUCCCAUAGAAAAAUUUCAAAAAGUCUAUUUGACUGUUCGGUAGUUCUAGUGUGAAUAAAGUCUUUCUUUUGAACUAUUUAAGACAACAAUUGAAGAUAUUCGAAUAAUGCAAUUGUUCAAUUCGAACAUUGCACGAAACAGGAUCCCACGAGAAUGGUGAAUCUCCACAUACUUUUAAGCAGCAGUGGAAAUUAACCACAUACUGUAUCAUUCGAGGGCUAUAUACGAAAUAAACUUUGAUCUCAUUAUGCAAUUUAUUGUUGCCAUGAGAUUGCGCUUGAACGAUAGCGUGUAAGAGGAGUGUUUUCAUGUGUAACAGAACGAUAAGCGGAGGGAAUUCCGAACAAACUUCUACAGUUUUUUGCUUACAUGGUCCCAGCCAGCCCAAGUCUGAAACGGGCAGAGAGGCAAGGAGAGACGUCCACUCGCAGCGCUCGGCGCGAUAGCAAUGGCGGAAUUAGUUUCUUUGUUACUGGCCGAGCCGCGAGCUGAGGUGGAGCGUGCGGCCGAAUCCUCUUGGCUCUCUUACCCGUUCAGAUGCCGGUCGGCUGGGAUCGUAUGUUGGAGCUACGAUGAAGACUAACCACUCGAAGAACGUGGAAACACUUCUCCUACCUGAUUUUCCCAGAGAAAGACAAUGAUCCUUUGAGGUUCCGGAUCAAGCAAAGGAUUAAUCCUUACGAAAAGUAAAGCCAGAGAGAACUCAAGUCCUAACGACGUCUUAAAGAUGAUAAACACACAUCCAUAGUGAUCAACUUGCUAAUCCCCGUAUUCGGGUUGCACCUAUAGGUCCUUACCACUUGGCCCUAGGAUACCUGCGAAGACUAUAGAUGAUUAGUCCUUUAUGAUGCACGCUUUCCGAUCUCACUUUCGCCUCGCCGAAAGGGAUUCCUAAGUCGGAAUGAUCGUAUCCAGAAAGCCUUCACGAAGGUUCAGUUACAGCGGAAAUCUCUUUAUCUUAUCAAAACUGAUUAAAUCUCGGUUCAAGGAUCAGUUUUUUAGGAACAGAUAACGAGUCCCCUAAACUCCAACAACACGCCUUAGCCCUGAGAAGUACAUUUCGAUAGUGAUGAAGACUCCUGCAUGAAGACACCGGUAAAUACUCACAGUACCGUAGGGGAAAAGACGAAGGAUUUUUUAAUGGGUGUACACGGCAUGCGAGUCCCAACUUAAAACAAUAGUCGUUUGUCUUAGACAAAGUAGGUCCACAACGUUGGAGACUUUAACGACUACCCUAAUUCAAACUGUUUAUCCUACCGGACCUAUCUCGAGGAACUACGCUGGGUCAGCUUAAACCCAUGAUUUCAAAAACCCUACCGUGCAUACCGUAUGUAAAUUCAAACGUAGCAAUUGUCAGAAAUAUAGUCGUGAAGCGCAUUCCAUAUUAACCGUUUGAGUGCCGCGUUGUAACGCUCUUCUUAUGUUGUGCCAAAAUUGCGGGGAGCGCGAUAAAGUUUCUCUUUAUCAGUAUCAAUUAUAAUUUUCUUAGUAUGUUUUUCAAGAAAUAAAUCAAAGUAAAUUUAUUUGAUUAAAUGUCACUUCUUGAUAUCACUUUUCGUGGUAAUACGAUAUUCGUGAUCGAAUUAGGUAACUACUCUUAACCAUUUGUUCUGUGAUUUAUUUCAGAACCUUGAUGGAUACAACUAUUUUGUUAUUAACCCUUUGCACUUGGGAGGUAACUCUCAGUCACCACUUAAUUUGACAGAGUAAACUAUGGAAUCUGAUAUUUAAUUGAACUUUGUAUAGUACCUCGACACGCGAAAUAUUAGAAUAAAAUAACUUUGUUCCUCAAUGUAUUGGUGAUUUCUCUUCGAGUUAGUCUCGAAGAAUAUCGUCUUCGCCUUAAAAAAUGCCAAAAAAUGUUAAAUAUUUCUAGUAAGAAACUUCCGAGUGCAAAGGGUUGAUAAUUCAUUGGAAACAGAGACAAAUUUUGGGCACAUUCUAUGUCUGUGUUUGCUCUGGAGUAUAACAUGUGAUAACAAAAGAAUAAUAUUUCAUUUGGGUUCAAAAGAAUCAAGUAAUGUUUAUACUUGUUGAAUUCUGUUUGAAAUCUUUACCACGUGCCUGACACGAUAUUGUAGGGCAAAGAGUGAAUUUUCUUUCAUACACACCCAAUCACUUUCGCAUUUUCCGUAUAUAUCCACAAAAUUUGUUUAGCUCUCAAACGGUUAAACAUUGCUAUGUUACAUGUGCAGUGCACAGAAAUAUUUUAGUUGUAUUUUAUGUCAUUCAUAAUGCUCGCUUUAAUUUGUACAGCUUGUUUUUAUUUUUCGCAGCUCGACAAAGUAAGAAGAUAAAUAUGCGAGCGGAAGCGAGAUAGAAACAUUGUGAUAAAUACUGACGGCCAAUUAAAAUGAUUAUUCUUUAGGCUCUAAUAUGGCAUGACGCUCUCAUCUGAAUAUAAAAUUUCAACUGCGAUCAACUAAUAGUUUCCGAGAUAUUUAUAAAAAGUUUUCGAAUACGUUGAAUUCUAUAUACGCAGCGUGAUAAACACUAGAGCUACCGGGCAUUUAAUAUGAUUGACAUGUAAUCCCCAUAAAAAUUGUAAUAGAUUAUUUUCAGUUUCUUCAACAUUCAUUAUAGUAUUCAAGUGAAACCAUUUAUUCAGAAUUAUUUCGAGUAUUUAAUUCUUUUCAUGUAUUAAUCAUUGAAAACCAAGAAAACUGAAAGCAAUCAUUUUGAAUGGUAUAGCAGUUCUAGUGUUAAUGCAACAAUCCUCACUGUAGGAAUAAUCGUUCACACACUUAAAACAAACAUUUAUAAUACAUAGAAAUCAAUUUCAUUUAGAUGACAAUAAAUCAUUGAUGUAGUAUUCAUAAUUGCUGGAAAACUUUUCAGUCUAAAACUGUGGCCUUAGACGAAGCUAACUGAUUUUUCUGGGACACUGUGUAGAUAGGGUUGUCGAUCGCUUCGUUCAUUCAACCGACAAUGACUACUAUAACAAGGAUUGUUGUAUUAGUCAUGUCUAUAAAGGCAGAAUUCAAAAUGUAUCAAAAGCUUUUCAUUAACCUCUUGUCCUAUGAUUUAUUUCUUAACUAUGAUUGAUACAAUUACUGUAUUAUUUAUAAUUUAUUAGUAAAAGAAAGAUUUUUUUAUGCUUGUUCUAUGUCUAUAUUUAGUCCAAAGGUUAAGGAUUGAUAACAGAAAAGUAAUAUUUAAUUUAUAUUCCAAAAAAAAAGAAAUAACACUUAGAUUUCUCGAAUUCAGUUUAAAACUUUCAUCGCCAGUCUGACAAGAUUGUAGGUCAAGGGGUUAAUAAUCACUAAUAGUCACUCGCAAUUGAAAUUUUUAUUUAGAAUUCUUUCCUCUUAAUUAUUUCGUUCUGCUACAGUGAAUAGGGCACACGAUUGCGUAAUAGGUAAUUAGUCAAACUAGUCGCGAGAAUUAGUACGUUACAAAAGAAUAAUUUACUACUGAUUGGCAUCUCCAUUCCUUUUGUGUAUACAUCCUUAACCUAUUGAACCGUACAUGCGCGUUUUCAUUAACUUCUCAUCGCUUCCAAGAACCCCUAACUCCUACACAACCGAACGUUACAUUGAAAUUCAUUAAAUCCACGUUAUUCAAUAAAUAAUUAUUUCCUUUCCAUCGAGUUCGAUUCAAUUUUCUUUCCUUCCGUUGAUCCAAUGAAAAACGGCAUUUUCGACUCGGAGAAAGCGGAAGUAUCGAGUAACAUUUUACGUUGUUAAUUAAUCGGGAUGAAUAUAACGUUGAAUCGAAUGAGAAACUCGAGGGGUUCAGUUAACUCGAAUCUGAGCAUGAGAAAAAUGUGCGCUUUCAUCGCGUCGGUUAUUAGAAGAUUCUGCAUGCGUCGCCGCAGCUUAAUCCUUUGCACUCGGAAGUAUUUCUAAAUACUUAACAUUUUCUAACUAGACGAAGACGAUAUUUGUUUAAAUCAACUCAAAAAGUGAUCACAAGUAAAUUGAGAAACAAAGCUAUUUUAGCCCAACAUUUCACACCAAUGCAUUAUAAACAGUUCAAUAUUAAAUAUCAGAUUUUAUAGUUUAACUGCAUUGAAUCAAGCGGUGACCGUAACUCACCUCUCGAGUGCAAAGGGUUGAAAUGUCCGAGGAGAGUGUUGCGAAAUAUUUGAUAGGUAGCUACGUAAAUGAGAAAACUGAAGAGGUCGUUCUUGUAGAAAGUACUGUAAGUGCCAAAACUGAACUUUCUUUCUUAUCCCGCAGUAUACAAUUGAAGCGCAAUUUUUUUCUUGUAAGUAAUCAUCAAUAGUAGUCAUUCAUAAUACUAAUAUUGAAGGAUGAAGUUAUUAAGAUACAUAAUGUUUUAACUCUUUGCGGACGAGACUGCGAUUUUGAUAUUAUUGACACGUUGAAUGCUGUGCGAUUUCAUAGACCAAAAUACACAAAAUGGAAAGAAUAUAAUAUUAAAUCAUUCGAUUGAAUUACAUUAUUAUUGCACGUUGAUUUAGCUGAACGCUAGUGCACUAGGUAGAAUUAAUUAUAAUAUAGAAAUGUUUUCAAAUAAUCAAUGUUCACUUAAUGAACUAUAAUAAUUUUAUUUAGUUUAGGGUCGUCGGUCACCCCCGUGGCGUUCAACGUGUUAAUUUACAUUAAAUUUACGAAUGUAUACAAGAAUUGUUCGCAUAGAAGCACGGCAGUUGCAGUGUCUAGGAAUUUCAGGAAGUGACUGAUAAAAGCUUGCGUUGACCGAUAAAUCAAUCACGGGCGGAUGUUUGCAGAAACGAGUCUGCAAAGGGUUAACUUUCUUCCUCCUCCCGGGAAAUUUGAUGUUUGGCACUCACAACUUUUUCUGCAGACACUCUUCAAUUCCGAACCGAGAAUUAAUGGGAUGCGAAUCGUUUAAUUUGCAGCCGGUACUGUCGGCGGUAUCUUUACAGUGUUGUCCGGUCACCCAUUAGAUACAAUUAAGGUUCUACUGCAAACGAUGCCGGAUAAGUACAAAGGUACAUGGGACGCGAUUAAACAGAUCGUAUCGCAAGAGGGAUCACUCAGUUUGUACAAGGUAAACUGUAUUCUACAAUUUGUACGUUACGUGCUUCGGAUUUUAUUGUGUGAAUCAACUUCAAUCGAAUUUGAACGUAUCCGUGGUAUACUGGUAGUUUGGGGAGUUGCAGCCAGCAUGUUCAUUACUUUUGCAAUAUUUGUCGGUCCCAUUUUGAAUAAAAGCUUCUUGAGUGAUAAGGUACUUAC
Molecule: non-coding RNA, 7101 nt
Organism: Nomia melanderi (Alkali bee)
Lineage: Eukaryota; Metazoa; Arthropoda; Insecta; Hymenoptera; Halictidae
Source: RefSeq, a predicted model, not a curated record